ACGUUAUCUAAAACAAGUACAAAUAAUUGGAGUUUAGGCUGUUGAAUGAUUGGGUACAUGGGUGUAGUUCGAGUUGGAUGCCCCGCCCCCACAAUCUGACUAACACCACAGAAACAGCCUCACUCUUUGUGUGUCCUUUGUUUACUACUAGAGUGACACGGGUCUCCAACGGCUUUGUUCUAGACAGGUUGGCAGCUUUGGCCUUGGCUGGAGGUGUACUGUCCGCAGCUACAUUGAGUAGGUCUAACUGUUCAAUGUUCACAGCUACAUUGAGUAGGUCUAACUGUUCACAGCUACAUUGAGUAGGUCUAACUGUUCACAGCUACAUUGAGUAGGUCUAACUGUUCACAGCUACAUUGAGUAGGUCUAACUGUUCAAUGUUCACAGCUACAUUGAGUAGGUCUAACUGUUCAAUGUUCACAGCUACAUUGAGUAGGUCUAACUGUUCACAGCUACAUUGAGUAGGUCUAACUGUUCACAGCUACAUUGAGUAGGUCUAACUGUUCACAGCUACAUUGAGUAGGUCUAACUGUUCACAGCUACAUUGAGUAGGUCUAACUGUUCACAGCUACAUUGAGUAGGUCUAACUGUUCAAUGUUCACAGCUACAUUGAGUAGGUCUAACUGUUCACAGCUACAUUGAGUAGGUCUAACUGUUCAAUGUUCACAGCUACAUUGAGUAGGUCUAACUGUUCACAGCUACAUUGAGUAGGUCUAACUGUUCACAGCUACAUUGAGUAGGUCUAACUGUUCACAGCUACAUUGAGUAGGUCUAACUGUUCAAUGUUCACAGCUACAUUGAGUAGGUCUAACUGUUCACAGCUACAUUGAGUAGGUCUAACUGUUCAACGUUCACAGCUACAUUGAGUAGGUCUAACUGUUCACAGCUACAUUGAGUAGGUCUAACUGUUCACAGCUACAUUGAGUAGGUCUAACUGUUCACAGCUACAUUGAGUAGGUCUAACUGUUCACAGCUACAUUGAGUAGGUCUAACUGUUCACAGCUACAUUGAGUAGGUCUAACUGUUCACAGCUACAUUGAGUAGGUCUAACUGUUCACAGCUACAUUGAGUAGGUCUAACUGUUCAAUGUUCACAGCUACAUUGAGUAGGUCUAACUGUUCACAGCUACAUUGAGUAGGUCUAACUGUUCAACGUUCACAGCUACAUUGAGUAGGUCUAACUGUUCACAGCUACAUUGAGUAGGUCUAACUGUUCACAGCUACAUUGAGUAGGUCUAACUGUUCACAGCUACAUUGAGUACGUCUAACUGUUCACAGCUACAUUGAGUAGGUCUAACUGUUCACAGCUACAUUGAGUAGGUCUAACUGUUCACAGCUACAUUGAGUAGGUCUAACUGUUCACAGCUACAUUGAGUAGGUCUAACUGUUCACAGCUACAUUGAGUAGGUCUAACUGUUCACAGCUACAUUGAGUAGGUCUAACUGUUCAAUGUUCACAGCUACAUUGAGUAGGUCUAACUGUUCACAGCUACAUUGAGUAGGUCUAACUGUUCACAGCUACAUUGAGUAGGUCUAACUGUUCACAGCUACAUUGAGUAGGUCUAACUGUUCACAGCUACAUUGAGUAGGUCUAACUGUUCACAGCUACAUUGAGUACGUCUAACUGUUCACAGCUACAUUGAGUAGGUCUAACUGUUCACAGCUACAUUGAGUAGGUCUAACUGUUCACAGCUACAUUGAGUAGGUCUAACUGUUCACAGCUACAUUGAGUAGGUCUAACUGUUCACAGCUACAUUGAGUAGGUCUAACUGUUCAAUGUUCACAGCUACAUUGAGUAGGUCUAACUGUUCACAGCUACAUUGAGUAGGUCUAACUGUUCACAGCUACAUUGAGUAGGUCUAACUGUUCACAGCUACAUUGAGUAGGUCUAACUGUUCACAGCUACAUUGAGUAGGUCUAACUGUUCACAGCUACAUUGAGUAGGUCUAACUGUUCACAGCUACAUUGAGUAGGUCUAACUUCACAGCUACAUUGAGUAGGUCUAACUGUUCAAUGUUCACAGCUACAUUGAGUAGGUCUAACUGUUCACAGCUACAUUGAGUAGGUCUAACUGUUCAAUGUUCACAGCUACAUUGAGUAGGUCUAACUGUUCACAGCUACAUUGAGUAGGUUUAACUGUUCAAUGUUCACAGCUACAUUGAGUAGGUCUAACUGUUCAAUGUUAGACAUGGCAGUUUUCAUACAAUAAUAUGUUUUGGUGUUACUUUUGAGUUAUUUGAUAUGGCUGUGUAUUAGUUUUUCCAUACCUACAUAGGCCUACUGUUUCGAAGACUACCAUACUUUUACUAUAAUUAUAGCAACCGAAUUGAGAUGCGUAGCAAGCUACAAAAUAUAGCCCUUUGAUCAAAACUUGAGGCAAAAUUGAGAAAGUUUCGUGGUUGACCUUGGGAUGUUGUUAAGAUGUGUACGGAACCUUUGGAAGGAGGAAAUAGCCUUGUCAUACCUGUGUUUAUUUCCCCCUGC
Long non-coding RNA from Oncorhynchus tshawytscha (Chinook salmon), 2482 nucleotides. RefSeq lists it as uncharacterized. The record is from RefSeq and is a predicted model, not a curated record. The transcript is spliced from 3 exons. NCBI's taxonomy places the organism in Eukaryota, Metazoa, Chordata, Actinopteri, Salmoniformes, Salmonidae.